AACUCUAAACAAGAGACCAAAUGACACAGAAAUUAACAACUAUAGGUCACCAAACAGCCUUCAACAAUGAGCAAAGCCAAUACCGCAUAGUCAGCUAUAAAAGGCCCCGAAAUGACAAAUGUAAAACAAUUCAAUCGACAAAACUAACAGCCGAAUUAAGAUACAAAUAAAUGAACGAAAAACAAAUAAAUAACACAGCAACAAACGACAACCACUGAAUUACAGGCUCCUGACUUGUACAUGCCCAACUGGUAGGUGUCAUCUGACCUUGGAGGCCAUACUUUGACCUACCAUUUAACUUGUAGGGGGAC
RNAcentral lists this long non-coding RNA (311 nucleotides) under Mytilus galloprovincialis (Mediterranean mussel). The record is from RNAcentral. Lineage: Eukaryota; Metazoa; Mollusca; Bivalvia; Mytilida; Mytilidae.